AACUUUCAACAACGGGUCUCUUGGCUCUCGCAUCGAUGAAGAACGCAGCGAAAUGCGAUAAGUAGUGUGAAUUGCAGAACUUUGUGAACCAUCGAAUCUUUGAACGCAAAUUGCGCCUUCUUCCGGAAGGCAUGUCUGUUUGAGGGCACCAUUU
Molecule: ribosomal RNA, 154 nt
Filed under: uncultured Paraglomus
Lineage: Eukaryota; Fungi; Glomeromycota; Glomeromycetes; Paraglomerales; Paraglomeraceae
Description: 5.8S ribosomal RNA
Rfam family: 5.8S ribosomal RNA
About the family: 5.8S ribosomal RNA (5.8S rRNA) is a component of the large subunit of the eukaryotic ribosome. It is transcribed by RNA polymerase I as part of the 45S precursor that also contains 18S and 28S rRNA. Functionally, it is thought that 5.8S rRNA may be involved in ribosome translocation.
Source: RNAcentral